Molecule: ribosomal RNA, 253 nt
Filed under: uncultured bacterium
Lineage: Bacteria
Description: partial 16S ribosomal RNA
Rfam family: Bacterial small subunit ribosomal RNA
Source: RNAcentral
GACGUAGGGCGCGAGCGUUGUCCGGAUUUAUUGGGCGUAAAGAGCUCGUAGGCGGCUUGUUGCGUCGACUGGGAAAACCCGCGGCUUAACUGCGGGCUUGCAGUUGAUACUGGCAGACUCGAGUGCGGUAGAGGAUGGUGGAAUUCCCGGUGUAGCGGUGAAAUGCGUAGAUAUCGGGAGGAACAUCAGUGGCGAAGGCGGCCAUCUGGACUGACACUGACACUGAGACACGAAAGCGUGGGGAGCAAACAGG